GACUAAUUUUUUGAAAUUACUAUAUAGGUGAAAAAGCCUAUGUAAACAAAAUAGACGAGAAGACCCUUAGAGUUUUAUUUAAUGUAAGAUAUUCUUACAAUAAUUUAGUUGGGGCAACUUAGGAACAGAUAGUGUAAGUAACUUCCUAAAAUGUAAUUAUUCAACGAUUUUAGUAAAAUUAUAUAAACUACCUUAGGGAUAACAGCAUAAUUUAUUAUAUAAGUUUGUGACCUCGAUGUUGGACUAGGAAAUUAAAAGGCUAGCCGCUUUUUAAAAAGGUUCUGUUCGAACUAUAAAUCCUAC
RNAcentral lists this ribosomal RNA (303 nucleotides) under Phyllidia elegans. RNAcentral describes it as "partial large subunit ribosomal RNA". Lineage: Eukaryota; Metazoa; Mollusca; Gastropoda; Nudibranchia; Phyllidiidae. The record is from RNAcentral.